CUCGAUGAGUAGGGCGGGACACGUGGUAUCCUGUCUGAAUAUGGGGGGACCAUCCUCCAAGGCUAAAUACUCCUGACUGACCGAUAGUGAACCAGUACCGUGAGGGAAAGGCGAAAAGAACCCCGGCGAGGGGAGUGAAAAAGAACCUGAAACCGUGUACGUACAAGCAGUGGGAGCCUCUUAAUGAGGUGACUGCGUACCUUUUGUAUAAUGGGUCAGCGACUUAUAUUCUGUAGCAAGGUUAACCGAAUAGGGGAGCCGAAGGGAAACCGAGUCUUAACUGGGCGUUAAGUUGCAGGGUAUAGACCCGAAACCCGGUGAUCUAGCCAUGGGCAGGUUGAAGGUUGGGUAACACUAACUGGAGGACCGAACCGACUAAUGUUGAAAAAUUAGCGGAUGACUUGUGGCUGGGGGUGAAAGGCCAAUCAAACCGGGAGAUAGCUGGUUCUCCCCGAAAGCUAUUUAGGUAGCGCCUCGUGAAUUCAUCUCCGGGGGUAGAGCACUGUUUCGGCAAGGGGGUCAUCCCGACUUACCAACCCGAUGCAAACUGCGAAUACCGGAGAAUGUUAUCACGGGAGACACACGGCGGGUGCUAACGUCCGUCGUGAAGAGGGAAACAACCCAGACCGCCAGCUAAGGUCCCAAAGUCAUGGUUAAGUGGGAAACGAUGUGGGAAGGCCCAGACAGCCAGGAUGUUGGCUUAGAAGCAGCCAUCAUUUAAAGAAAGCGUAAUAGCUCACUGGUCGAGUCGGCCUGCGCGGAAGAUGUAACGGGGCUAAACCAUG
This 785-nucleotide ribosomal RNA is filed under the name Escherichia coli. RNAcentral's name for it is "partial 23S ribosomal RNA". It matches the Rfam family "Bacterial large subunit ribosomal RNA", at positions 404 to 1191 of the family's 2925-position model. The record is from RNAcentral. Lineage: Bacteria; Pseudomonadati; Pseudomonadota; Gammaproteobacteria; Enterobacterales; Enterobacteriaceae.